RNAcentral lists this ribosomal RNA (253 nucleotides) under uncultured bacterium. RNAcentral describes it as "partial 16S ribosomal RNA". It matches the Rfam family "Bacterial small subunit ribosomal RNA", at positions 524 to 776 of the family's 1533-position model. The record is from RNAcentral.
GACAGAGGUCCCGAGCGUUAGGCGGAAUCACUGGGCUUAAAGCGUGUGUAGGCGGAUUGGUAAGUACCUUGUGAAAUCCCACGGCUUAACCGUGGAACUGCUUGGUAUACUGCUUAUCUUGGGCCACUUAGGGGUUACCGGAACAAACGGUGGAGCGGUGAAAUGCGUAGAUAUCAGGAGGAACACCGGUGGUGUAGACGGCUCUCUGGACCGUAACUGACGCUGAGACACGAAAGCGUGGGUAGCAAACAGG